CUAUGGGCCCUGGGGU
RNAcentral lists this ribosomal RNA (16 nucleotides) under Ascomycota sp. F46. RNAcentral's name for it is "partial 18S ribosomal RNA". Lineage: Eukaryota; Fungi; Ascomycota. The record is from RNAcentral.